This 407-nucleotide ribosomal RNA is filed under the name uncultured Parvibaculum sp. RNAcentral's name for it is "bacterial SSU rRNA". It matches the Rfam family "Bacterial small subunit ribosomal RNA", at positions 509 to 916 of the family's 1533-position model. Lineage: Bacteria; Pseudomonadati; Pseudomonadota; Alphaproteobacteria; Hyphomicrobiales; Parvibaculaceae. The record is from RNAcentral.
CAGCAGCCGCGGUAAUACGAAGGGGGCUAGCGUUGUUCGGAAUUACUGGGCGUAAAGCGCACGUAGGCGGCAUUCCAAGUUGGAGGUGAAAUCCCCGGGCUUAACCUGGGAACUGCCUCCAAAACUGGGAAGCUCGAGUCCGAGAGAGGUGAGUGGAAUUUCCAGUGUAGAGGUGAAAUUCGUAGAUGUUGGAAAGAACACCAGUGGCGAAGGCGGCUCACUGGCUCGGUACUGACGCUGAGGAGCGACAGCGUGGGGAGCAAACAGGAUUAGAUACCCUGGUAGUCCACGCCGUAAACUAUGGGUGCUAGUUGUCGGGCAGCUUGCUGUUCGGUGACGCAGCUAACGCAUUAAGCACCCCGCCUGGGGAGUACGGUCGCAAGAUUAAAACUCAAAGGAAUUGACGG